This 1616-nucleotide unclassified non-coding RNA is filed under the name uncultured fungus. RNAcentral describes it as "sequence contains 18S rRNA gene, ITS1, 5.8S rRNA gene, ITS2, 28S rRNA gene". Lineage: Eukaryota; Fungi. The record is from RNAcentral.
CGAACAUGCGGGACGGCCGCUGGUACCCGACUGGUACCGUCCUCGGCGACGGCACGGUGCUGGUGCUCGGCGGCGCCGACGAGCGGGGCGAUGUCACGCAGGCCGUCGAGAUUUAUCGUCCCGCGACCAACAGUUGGGCGCUCGGCGCUCCAGCUCCAUGGAAGCCGCCGUUGUAUCCGCGGCAGCAUCUGCUCCCGUCGGGCAAAGUGUUCGUCUCCGGGUCGCAUCCGAGGUCGAGGUUCUAUGACCCGAUUGCGCGCACGUGGAAGGACGGGCCGCAGACGUUGUUCAGCAGGAACCGCGACUACGGCACCUCGGUAUUGCUGCGCUCACGCCGGCCAACGGAUUCAAGCCGACCGUGAUGAUCUUUGGCGGCGGACACCACGGCGCGGACAUUCAGGCGACGACCGAGCGCGUCGAUCUCUCGGUGAGCGCUCCCGUGUGGAAGGACGGGCCGAACAUGAAGCAACCGCGCGUUCAGUUGAACGCGACGAUCCUGCCGAACGGAAAGGUGCUGGUGUCCGGCGGGUCGAAGACGAGAGACCCGGGGACCGCGGUCCUGGCCACCGAGCUGUACGACCCGGUCGCGAAGACCUUCAGCGACGGCGCGCCGAUGCGCUACGCGCGCCUGUAUCACUCCAAUACGCUCCUGCUGCCGGACGGCACGGUGAUGGCGGUGGGAAGCAAUCCCGGGAGCACGUACGAACACCACAUCGAGAUCUACUCGCCGCCGUACCUCUUCAAUAGCGUCGGAGGCCCGGCGAAACGGCCGUCCAUCACGUUGGCGCUACCCACGAUGGCAUACGGCGCUGCGUAUACCGUACAGACCCCGAAUGCAUUCGAUAUCCGCUCGGUCGUCCUGGUCCGGCCCGGCGCGCCGACGCAUGCCUUCGACGCCGAGCAGCGGCUGGUGGGGAUGACGUUCACCAAGGGCAACGGCGUGCUGUACGUGACCCCGCCGUCGAACCGCAGCGUCGCGCCGCCGGGGUACUACCUCUUCUUCAUCCUCAACGCGAACGGAGUGCCGUCGAUUGGAACCUUCGUGCGGCUGGGAUGAACCCGUCGCCGAGUCUUCAAGUCGUCGAGUCUCCGAGGUAUCCCCUCGAAGACUCGUCGACUUGCUCCCUACGCCGCGCGCUUGACCGGCAGCCGCAGGACCAUGCUCGUGCCCACGCCUUCGACCGAGGCCACGCUGACUUCGCCGCCGUGGGCUUCGACGACCUGCUUGACGAUGUAGAGACCGAGGCCCGUGCCGCCGCCGCCGCGGAGCGACUUCUUGCCGCUCUGCUUGUACUUCUGGAAGAUCUUCUCCAGGUCCUCGCCGCUGAUGCCCGUCCCCGUGUCCGUCACCGUGAUCACGAUGGACUCGGGGACGUCGCCGUUGCGGACGAUCUGUGCGCCGACGGAGAUCAGUCCCUUCUUCGGCGUGAACUUCAGCGAGUUCGAGAUCAGGUUGAUGACCGCCUGGGUGAGCUUCUCCACGCUGCCGAUGAUCUGGGGGAUGUCGCGGCCGUGCGCGCUGAGGAGGAAGAUCUCGUCGCGCGAAGCCACCGACUGCAGACUGCGCACGGCGCGCUUGAGGACGCCCGCGACGCGCACCGGCUCGCUCUCCACGA